Molecule: long non-coding RNA, 1312 nt
Organism: Macrobrachium nipponense
Lineage: Eukaryota; Metazoa; Arthropoda; Malacostraca; Decapoda; Palaemonidae
Exons: 3
Source: RefSeq, a predicted model, not a curated record
CUCGUGAGUCGUGACGUCACGUCACUCCUCUCUCUGCAGGUGUUCUUCAGAUCUUGGAAGCAUUAUUUACAUGCCAGGAAGUGACUGGAAUGCAGGUGUCUUACCUAUUUAACAAAUUGAAGCCCUGGUCUGAGAGUCGUACCUUGUACCGUUCUCUCAGAUGGUUGUAGGGAUAGUCGGCAAACUGUGUCUUUUUUACAACAGGGAGCUGGCUGUAGCCAGGCCAUAUUUUUUCGCUUGGGGUUCCAAGGUCCUUAGGAAGCAAAAGAUAAGAUAUUUUAUUUUUUUUCUCUUCAUGAAGGUGUAAGAAUAUCAUUAGAAAAUAUAAUUGUGUGAUAUACAAACAGUUACUCGUGUACAAACAGUUACUCAUGAACAGAAAUAAAUAUUCCAGAAUUAGGAAAUAAAAACAUCAUACAUGUGAAAACACAAGUUUCAAAAUAAAUCAAAUACUUACCUUAAAUAUUUUAUUAAGCUGAUCAAUUUCAGAUUUUCCAGGAAACAUAGCUUCCAUUCCCAGCAGCUCCCCAAAGAUACAUCCGACCGACCAAACGUCUAUGUGGGUCGAGUAUUGCUUGGCUCCAAGGAGCAGUUCAGGAGCACGAUACCACAGUGUAACUACAAUUGGCGUGAACUGCUUUAAUGGGGACCCAUAUUCUCGUGCAAGUCCGAAAUCGCCUACCUGAGAUUUUAAAAGGUAACAAACUUUUACAGUAGUAAAGAAACAACUGUAACAAUUUGAAAAGUUCAGGUCAGAAGCAAGCUAUUUACACUUGACAUUUGACAAGUUAAGAAGGCCAAAUGCAAACUAUUACACUUGAUAUCUUCCUGAAAAAUCCUAGCAAUUUCCCAGUGCCUUCCAUCAGUCCAUGUAGAGCCUCUUCAGAAUAUACAAGAGACUGAUUGAUGACCAUGUUGCUGUUGUAUCUCUAUCAUACACAUGAUCCAGCAGUUAUUUGAAAAGGUAAGCUAGGCUAGGAUGUAGGCCAAUGUAAUGUUGCAAGCAUGAUCGGGUUACACUAGGCUGUAGGCAAAUGUAACUAUUCUAUGCAUGAAUAUGGUAACCUACACUAUAAUUUUAUUAGGAAAAAGAAAGCAGAAGUCAAAUAACCACAAUUAUGGCUAGGCUGUUGUGUUUAUGAAGAAAAUGGAAUACAUUGCCAUGAUAAAAUGACAUGGCAAAUUACUCUAAAUGUAAUAGAAUAAGUAAUAUUUUAGAUUCUUAUACUUGGGCACUGUAUAUGAUGUGGAAUAAAGUGCAUACUUUACAUUGUUGACAUUAUAAAACCUUGUUUUAGGAAAAUAAAGUGCU